This 1332-nucleotide ribosomal RNA is filed under the name Corynebacterium amycolatum. RNAcentral describes it as "partial 16S ribosomal RNA". It matches the Rfam family "Bacterial small subunit ribosomal RNA", at positions 86 to 1434 of the family's 1533-position model. The record is from RNAcentral. Lineage: Bacteria; Bacillati; Actinomycetota; Actinomycetes; Mycobacteriales; Corynebacteriaceae.
GGUACACGAGUGGCGAACGGGUGAGUAACACGUGGGUGACCUGCCCUGCACUUCGGGAUAAGCCUGGGAAACUGGGUCUAAUACCGGAUAGGACCGCACCGUGAGGGUGUGGUGGAAAGUUUUUUCGGUGUGGGAUGGGCCCGCGGCCUAUCAGCUUGUUGGUGGGGUAAUGGCCUACCAAGGCGGCGACGGGUAGCCGGCCUGAGAGGGUGGACGGCCACAUUGGGACUGAGACACGGCCCAGACUCCUACGGGAGGCAGCAGUGGGGAAUAUUGCACAAUGGGCGGAAGCCUGAUGCAGCGACGCCGCGUGGGGGAUGACGGCCUUCGGGUUGUAAACUCCUUUCACCAUCGACGAAGGGUUUCUGACGGUAGAUGGAGAAGAAGCACCGGCUAACUACGUGCCAGCAGCCGCGGUAAUACGUAGGGUGCGAGCGUUGUCCGGAAUUACUGGGCGUAAAGAGCUCGUAGGUGGUUUGUCGCGUCGUCUGUGAAAUUCCGGGGCUUAACUCCGGGCGUGCAGGCGAUACGGGCAUAACUUGAGUACUGUAGGGGAGACUGGAAUUCCUGGGUAGCGGUGAAAUGCGCAGAUAUCAGGAGGAACACCGGUGGCGAAGGCGGGUCUCUGGGCAGUAACUGACGCUGAGGAGCGAAAGCAUGGGGAGCGAACAGGAUUAGAUACCCUGGUAGUCCAUGCCGUAAACGGUGGGCGCUAGGUGUGGGUUUCCUUCCACGGGAUCCGUGCCGUAGCUAACGCAUUAAGCGCCCCGCCUGGGGAGUACGGCCGCAAGGCUAAAACUCAAAGGAAUUGACGGGGGCCCGCACAAGCGGCGGAGCAUGUGGAUUAAUUCGAUGCAACGCGAAGAACCUUACCUGGGCUUGACAUAUACAGGAUCGCGCCAGAGAUGGUGUUUCCCUUGUGGCUUGUAUACAGGUGGUGCAUGGUUGUCGUCAGCUCGUGUCGUGAGAUGUUGGGUUAAGUCCCGCAACGAGCGCAACCCUUGUCUUAUGUUGCCAGCACGUUGUGGUGGGGACUCGUAAGAAACUGCCGGGGUUAACUCGGAGGAAGGUGGGGAUGACGUCAAAUCAUCAUGCCCCUUAUGUCCAGGGCUUCACACAUGCUACAAUGGUCGGUACAGUGGGUUGCCAGUCCGUGAGGGCGAGCUAAUCCCGCAAAGCCGGUCUCAGUUCGGAUCGGGGUCUGCAACUCGACCCCGUGAAGUCGGAGUCGCUAGUAAUCGCAGAUCAGCAACGCUGCGGUGAAUACGUUCCCGGGCCUUGUACACACCGCCCGUCACGUCAUGAAAGUCGGUAACACCCGAAGCCAGUGGC